Paramisgurnus dabryanus is the source of this 1283-nucleotide long non-coding RNA. RefSeq lists it as uncharacterized. The record is from RefSeq and is a predicted model, not a curated record. Lineage: Eukaryota; Metazoa; Chordata; Actinopteri; Cypriniformes; Cobitidae.
CGGGUUUUUUUCUGUUAGUUGCGACUGUAUUCGUUAUAGUAGUUAAUUUGCUAGUCCACGGGAUGUUCCCGCCGAAAUUGGACUUCGUUAUUAUGAAUAUUAAUAAAUUAAUAUGAGGUGUGUUUUUAUCAACUUAACCACUUGGUUGUUUUUGCUUCAGAAAAGCAACUAGUUAUAAAUGUAAGGGCUUUUUUGGACAACUUCGGUGAAAAAGUGUUGAUUUCGUAGUUCAGUCAGCGUAACUUAUAUCCGAGAGGUCUUACAGGCGCCACAGACACCUAUCAGCCUUUUGUAAGGAGGAGCAGCUCGAGUGCGGUGCGGUCAGUAGCCCUUCAAAUUAGAAAAGUGAGAAUGAUCUUGUCAAUGCUGAGAUUUUCAUGCAUCAACAGCCACUACAUCUGGAUCAGAUUGAACAAGAAACAGACAGCAAGGGUUGUCAGAUCAGAAACAGAAUGACACACAAACACAAGAAACUUCACAGGCAGAUCAACAUGCAAUUUGAAGACGUGUGAUAAAAUACAGAGAGGUGAAGUAGUGUGUCUUUCCAGAUCCCCAAAUCAUUCCCCCUUAAAAGAUGAGCUGAAGAGGAGAUUUGGGAAGAUGCUGUUUCAUAAGUCGCUUUGCCAGAUCACCUGUGGUUGGGAUGUCUGCUAACAAGAUGCCUUGCUGGUCUGAGUGAGUUUAAAGUCUUACACAGACAGUCCAGAAGUUCUGAAGUCCAUCUUCGAUUUCAUUGAUGCUGUCAUCGUAUUAAGUACAGCAUGAGCCAGAAUAGAUGUGUGGUGGUGGCCAUAAGAAGACUGUCAACUAAACCAACAACAAAAUUCAUAUUUGCAGUUUUUCUUGAAUAAAGUUUUUCUAUUCAGAUUAAUAAAAUGACUUUUAAACAUGAUUUUGUUUCAUAUUUUAUGAUUUUAUUCUAUAUUUAGAAAAUUCCACUUCUGCACUACUAACUGGAAACCUAACUGUUUGAAAGAAUGUGUUUUUAUCCAUAAAAAAAUAUUUUUAACAGCUGCUUUCAUGUUUAUUUGGAAAGGGUAGGCACCUGCCAUCUUAUUUGUCCACAUUUAAACUUUACCUUCCUUAAGUGUUUAGUUUUAUGAAUGGGGUUGUACUGUAAGUUAUGCGUAGCAAGUUGCAUUCAUAUGAUAAUUGCAUUAAAAAUGACACGUUUACAGUAAAUCAUUUAGUGAGUAUUGCAGUGUAAAGUAAAAAUCUAUAUUUAGUGUUAAAAACAACAAGGAAAUAGAAGGUUGAAAUUGCGUCAUGAUAUCAACCAUAAU